GAGACAGCAGUCGCCGCGGGAAUACGUAGGUGGCAAGCGUUGUCCGGAAUUAUUGGGCGUAAAGGGCUCGCAGGCGGUUUCUUAAGUCUGAUGUGAAAGCCCCCGGCUCAACCGGGGAGGGUCAUUGGAAACUGGGAAACUUGAGUGCAGAAGAGGAGAGUGGAAUUCCACGUGUGGCGGUGAAAUGCGUAGAGAUGUGGAGGAACACCAGUGGCGAAGGCGACUCUCUGGUCUGUAACUGACGCUGAGGAGCGAAAGCGUGGGGAGCGAACAGGAUUAGAUACCCCAGUAGUCCCUGUCUCUUAUAC
This 308-nucleotide ribosomal RNA is filed under the name uncultured bacterium. Its description in RNAcentral is "partial 16S ribosomal RNA". It matches the Rfam family "Bacterial small subunit ribosomal RNA", at positions 505 to 807 of the family's 1533-position model. The record is from RNAcentral.